GGGGCUAUAGCUCAGUUGGUAGAGCGCUUGCAUGGCAUGCAAGAAGGUCAGGAGGUUCGAUUCUCCUUAGCUCCA
RNAcentral lists this transfer RNA (75 nucleotides) under Streptomyces sp. GKU 257-1. RNAcentral describes it as "tRNA-Ala". It matches the Rfam family "tRNA". Rfam says of the family: Transfer RNA (tRNA) molecules are approximately 80 nucleotides in length. Their secondary structure includes four short double-helical elements and three loops (D, anti-codon, and T loops). Further hydrogen bonds mediate the characteristic L-shaped molecular structure. tRNAs have two regions of fundamental functional importance: the anti-codon, which is responsible for specific mRNA codon recognition, and the 3' end, to which the tRNAs corresponding amino acid is attached (by aminoacyl-tRNA synthetases). tRNAs cope with the degeneracy of the genetic code in two manners: having more than one tRNA (with a specific anti-codon) for a particular amino acid; and 'wobble' base-pairing, i.e. permitting non-standard base-pairing at the 3rd anti-codon position. Lineage: Bacteria; Bacillati; Actinomycetota; Actinomycetes; Kitasatosporales; Streptomycetaceae. The record is from RNAcentral.